UUUAAUUCGAAGCAACGCGAAGAACCUUACCAGGUCUUGACAUCCUCUGCUACUUCUAGAGAUAGAAGGUUCCCCUUCGGGGGACGGAGUGACAGGUGGUACAUGGUUGUCGUCAGCUCGUGUCGUGAGAUGUUGGGUUAAGUCCCGCAACGAGCGCAACCCUUGACCUUAGUUGCCAGCAUUCAGUUGGGCACUCUAAGGUGACUGCCGGUGACAAACCGGAGGAAGGUGGGGAUGACGUCAAAUCAUCAUGCCCCUUAUGACCUGGGCUACACACGUGCUACAAUGGACGGUACAAAGGGCUGCGAAACCGCGAGGUGGAGCCAAUCCCAGAAAACCGUUCUCAGUUCGGAUUGCAGGCUGCAACUCGCCUGCAUGAAGCCGGAAUCGCUAGUAAUCGCGGAUCAGCAUGCCG
RNAcentral lists this ribosomal RNA (415 nucleotides) under uncultured bacterium. RNAcentral's name for it is "bacterial SSU rRNA". It matches the Rfam family "Bacterial small subunit ribosomal RNA", at positions 945 to 1359 of the family's 1533-position model. The record is from RNAcentral.